AUGGAAGGAAGCUACCAACACUACAAAUAUUACCAUUUUUUUGCCUUAUGCUUUGGACUGGGAUGGUUUAUAGCACUCUACAGACCAUUCCAUUCUCUUGUGGUUCCAUCAGUUAUUGCAGUAUUUUUCACGCUGGCCUUUGAAUUUGUGGGCUUGGCAUGUGACAUGCCAGCUCAUACUAAGAAAUGCAGAGGUCCUCCAUAUGAGAGAAGAGAUGCUUAUUGGGGAUUUGGUUUUGCUGUUUUUAUCGCCUUCCUGAAUCUCAACCUCUCUUACGCUUACACACUAUCCUAUGGAGGUGGAAUCAUAGUGUUUGCAAUGAGAGGAGCAAAACGGAAAUGGAAUUCUUUAAGGGAGAUAAGAGCGAAAGAAAAGAAUGCUCAAGGUAGACGGUGGUGA
Molecule: long non-coding RNA, 399 nt
Filed under: Betta splendens (Siamese fighting fish)
Lineage: Eukaryota; Metazoa; Chordata; Actinopteri; Anabantiformes; Osphronemidae
Description: lncRNA (ENSBSLG00000001166.1)
Source: RNAcentral